UUUAUCAAUAAUUUUGAGAAUAAUACUAUCAUAUUAUAACAAUGCCGCCAUCAUAGCCAUCAAAAUAAUUAUGAUUUUAGUAUCAGUUAACUCUAAAUUAUAUGAAAUGGGGCAAAUUUUCUAAUAUUUUAAUGAACAGAUUAUAAUCAAACUUUUUAUUUACCUCGACUUUAUAAAUUAAUUUUUCAUUUAAUUACUACUACAGUGCCAAGUUAGUAGCUAGAAUAAGAGAGUCUUGAU
RNAcentral lists this long non-coding RNA (240 nucleotides) under Phoenix dactylifera (date palm). RNAcentral's name for it is "long non-coding RNA (PDAC_LNC003889)". Lineage: Eukaryota; Viridiplantae; Streptophyta; Magnoliopsida; Arecales; Arecaceae. The record is from RNAcentral.